This 30-nucleotide non-coding RNA is filed under the name Homo sapiens (human). Lineage: Eukaryota; Metazoa; Chordata; Mammalia; Primates; Hominidae. The record is from RNAcentral.
UCCCAGAUGGUGUGUCAUCCGUGAAGAGGC